This 245-nucleotide ribosomal RNA is filed under the name uncultured bacterium. RNAcentral describes it as "partial 16S ribosomal RNA". It matches the Rfam family "Bacterial small subunit ribosomal RNA", at positions 524 to 768 of the family's 1533-position model. The record is from RNAcentral.
UACGGAGGGGGCAAACGUUGUUCGGAAUUACUGGGCGUAAAGGGUGCGUAGGCGGUUCGAUAAGUCUUGCGUGAAAUCUCUCGGCUUACCCGGGAAACUGCGCUGGAAACUGUCGAGCUCGAGGAUGGGAGAGGCAGAUGGAAUUCCUGGUGUAGCGGUGGAAUGCGUAGAUAUCAGGAAGAACACUCAUGGCGAAGGCAGUCUGCUGGCCCACACCUGACGCUGAGGCACGAAAGCCAGGGGAG